Molecule: ribosomal RNA, 252 nt
Filed under: uncultured bacterium
Lineage: Bacteria
Description: partial 16S ribosomal RNA
Rfam family: Bacterial small subunit ribosomal RNA
Source: RNAcentral
UACGAAGGGUGCAAGCGUUACUCGGAAUUACUGGGCGUAAAGCGUGCGUAGGUGGUUCGUUAAGUCUGAUGUGAAAGCCCUGGGCUCAACCUGGGAAUGGCAUUGGAAACUGGCGAGCUAGAGAGCGGUAGAGGGUGUGGAAUUCCCGGUGUAGCAGUGAAAUGCGUAGAGAUCGGGAGGAACACCAAUGGCGAAGGCAGCUCUCUGGGACGUGACUGACGCUGAGACGCGAAAGCGUGGGGAGCAAACAGG